RNAcentral lists this ribosomal RNA (376 nucleotides) under uncultured organism. RNAcentral describes it as "partial 16S ribosomal RNA". It matches the Rfam family "Bacterial small subunit ribosomal RNA", at positions 527 to 896 of the family's 1533-position model. The record is from RNAcentral.
GUAGGGUGCAAGCGUUAUCCGGAAUCAUUGGGCGUAAAAAGCUCGUAGGCGGUUCAGCAAGUCGGCUGUGAAAUCCCGAGGCUUAACCUCGGAACUGCAGUCGAUACUGCUGUGACUAGAGUCCGGUAGAGGAGAAUGGAAUUCCCGGUGUAGCGGUGAAAUGCGCAGAUAUCGGGAGGAACACCAGUAGCGAAGGCGGUUCUCUGGGCCGGUACUGACGCUGAGGAGCGAAAGCGUGGGUAGCAAACAGGAUUAGAUACCCUGGUAGUCCACGCCGUAAACGUUGGACACUAGGUGUGGCGUUCCGACCAACGGGUGCCCGUGCCGAAGCUAACGCAUUAAGUGUCCCCGCCUGGGGAGUACGGCCGCAAGGCUA